UGAGGAAUAUUGCGCAAUGGGGGAAACCCUGACGCAGCGACGCCGCGUGGAGGACGAAGGCCUUCGGGUCGUAAACUCCUGUCAAGGGGGACGAAAGUCGUGGGGAUGAAUAAGCGCUGCGAUUGACGGUACCUCUGAAGGAAGCCCCGGCUAACUCCGUGCCAGCAGCCGCGGUAAUACGGAGGGGGCUAGCGUUGUUCGGAAUUAUUGGGCGUAAAGGGCGCGCAGGCGGCUAGGCAAGUCGGAGGUGAAAUCCCUCGGCUCAACCGAGGAACUGCCCCCGAUACUGCCUGACUUGAGUCCCGGAGAGGGUAGCGGAAUUCCCAGUGUAGCGGUGAAAUGCGUAGAUAUUGGGAGGAACACCAGUGGCGAAGGCGGCUACCUGGACGGGUACUGACGCUGAGGCGCGAAAGCGUGGGGAGCAAACAGGAUUAGAUACCCCCGUAGUCC
This 450-nucleotide ribosomal RNA is filed under the name uncultured prokaryote. RNAcentral's name for it is "bacterial SSU rRNA". It matches the Rfam family "Bacterial small subunit ribosomal RNA", at positions 355 to 796 of the family's 1533-position model. The record is from RNAcentral.